This 464-nucleotide ribosomal RNA is filed under the name uncultured bacterium. RNAcentral describes it as "partial 16S ribosomal RNA". It matches the Rfam family "Bacterial small subunit ribosomal RNA", at positions 355 to 831 of the family's 1533-position model. The record is from RNAcentral.
UGGGGAAUAUUGCACAAUGGGCGAAAGCCUGAUGCAGCGACGCCGCGUGCGGGAUGAAGGCCUUCGGGUUGUAAACCGCUUUUGAUUGGGAGCAAGCGAGAGUGAGUGUACCUUUCGAAUAAGCACCGGCUAACUACGUGCCAGCAGCCGCGGUAAUACGUAGGGUGCAAGCGUUAUCCGGAAUUAUUGGGCGUAAAGAGCUCGUAGGCGGUUUGUCGCGUCUGGUGUGAAAGUCCAUCGCUUAACGGUGGAUCUGCGCCGGGUACGGGCAGGCUAGAGUGCGACAGGGGAGACUGGAAUUCCCGGUGUAACGGUGGAAUGUGUAGAUAUCGGGAAGAACACCAAUGGCGAAGGCAGGUCUCUGGGUCGUCACUGACGCUGAGGAGCGAAAGCGUGGGGAGCGAACAGGAUUAGAUACCCUGGUAGUCCACGCCGUAAACGGUGGAUGCUGGAUGUGGGGCCCA